Molecule: long non-coding RNA, 1523 nt
Organism: Phyllopteryx taeniolatus (common seadragon)
Lineage: Eukaryota; Metazoa; Chordata; Actinopteri; Syngnathiformes; Syngnathidae
Exons: 3
Source: RefSeq, a predicted model, not a curated record
ACAUGCAGAAAGGCAGUGAUUAAAAUGUGUUUUUACUUCUUUGAUGAAAUUGUUUCGGAAAGCCAAUGCCUGUUUUUUGUUGCUGUUGUUUUCUAAUUAUUAUGACCAUCCCUAAUUCAUAGGUUAAAUUUAAACAAUUUAGACCGUUUAUCAACUCAAACAUGAGUCAUUCUGUUAAGAAAAAAAAAAACAGAAUGUCGAAGGCGGGGACCUUGGCGAUCAAAUCCCCGGCUACAGAAGCUGGCUCUAGGGACGUGGAAUGUCACCACUCUGGCAGGGAAGGAGCCCGAGCUGGUGUGUGAGGUCGAGAAGUUCCGACUGGAUAUAGUCGGGCUCGCCACCACGCACAGCUUGGGCUCUGGUACCAGUCCUCUCGAUAGGGGUUGGACUUUCUUCCACUCUGGAGUUGCCCACGAGACAACAUGGCUUCACGGGUAACUUGAUAUGGGGAAGUGGCGACUGUCUAACUACCUGGGCUUCCUCCUACCGUCCCGCUGUUGUCAGGUGUCGUGUUCGGCUGUGACCUUAUGUCACCAACAACAAGGAAAAUGAUGUGGUGGGCCGCAUCUGGUCCCCGGGCUUUGAGGUUGACACCCGUGCUCUACAGUGUAGAGAGAGACUCAGACUUGGGAGCACAAACACAAGGACACAGCACAAGAUCGCGCCACCUGGCGGGCCGCACUGGGGUGUUCGGCUAUGAUGCUCUGCGCAUGGAGGAGAGACAGCAUCAACGCCAGCAGAGGAAAAGAGCAAACGUCGCCUCUCAGCCUGGUUUACUUCUCGCCAUGAAGUGUCCUCGUUGCAGCAGACCUUUAAAGGCGAGAAUUGGGCUGUCCAGCCAUCUUCCCACACAUAACUUUUAGUGAGAAGAUAAGUCAAUGUGUGUUAGAGAGAGAGAGAGAGCGAGAAAGAGAGAUUUUGUGGUGUUUUCAGAUUCUGUUUUGACUGACUACUCACACGCUGUUAAGACUUUUUUUUACUUUUAAGAUUAGAGCUAAAAGCUUAAUGUUAAUACGUUUUACAUGUCACUUGAUCACAUUUGAUUUUUAUCAUGGUGUAUUGUACAUCAGCCUUUUUUCAUAAAUUUGUUGGUGCUCUGUUAUAUGUUUGAGUAAAUACAAUACAUUGUACCUUUUGCUGUGCUUUUGUAUAGUUCAAUGUCAUGGUGUUCUGUUGUUGUGGGCAGCAUAGGACAUAAUGUGUUUCUUUCCCCAUCAGUUAUAUAACAACCAUUACAGAGCGAUGAGAAGUGAAAAGAGAACAGAGAAUGUGAUGGACAGAACAUAAGUAGGAAAAUAACAGCAGCAGCAGAGGAAUAAAUGCUCACCAUUCAGAACCAUGCAAAGCCUCACACGCACAGAGGCAGUCACACACAAUACAUGCAGACGUUUACACAAGCAUGCAUAAUACACAAACAUGCUCACGAGGAAUUCUACUGCAAGAAUAACUCUGCCUCGGAACAGAAAGGACAAAUAUUCUUUGCAGCAUGACCAUCAUUCGGAGUGACUACAGGUUUUAAGCAU